GCAUAAUAUUAGAACCGGUUAUUUUAACCUAAAGAAAAUAAUUGGUGUCGAAAUUAUGCCAAAUGAAAAGCCACAUUUUACUUGUCUUUAUUGUGUCAAGAAAUUUCCAGCAUUCUAAAGAUUUCUAAUGUUGCAACA
Molecule: small nucleolar RNA, 138 nt
Filed under: Drosophila willistoni
Lineage: Eukaryota; Metazoa; Arthropoda; Insecta; Diptera; Drosophilidae
Description: snoRNA:GK26504
Source: RNAcentral